This 2779-nucleotide long non-coding RNA is filed under the name Lynx pardinus (Iberian lynx). The record is from RNAcentral. Lineage: Eukaryota; Metazoa; Chordata; Mammalia; Carnivora; Felidae.
CUGUUACUCAGAUUUAUCAAUUUCUGUUGAUCUUUGAGCUCAUUGAUUGUUUUGUCUCUCAUCUCAUCUCCUGUUGAGCUUACUCAGUGAGUUAUCGCUUUGGCUUUUGUGGUGUUGGGGUUUUGGGGUUGUUUUGUGUUUUUCCAGUUUAAUUUCUACUGGCUCCUUUUUUACGUUUUCUAAUUCCUUGCCUAGUUUAUAAUACCAAAGAAGGACUCUUAGAAAUAAAACAGGCAAAACUAUGUAGUCCAAAGUCCUGGUACUCUGGUGGCUUAUCUUGGUAUUGGAAUAAAAAGCCUAAAGUAUCUAGAGAAAUGGAAGUCCUGUUAUCCACAGAUAUUUCUAAAAAUGGAUCUUAAAACUGAAGAUCUGCAGAUUAUUCAGGGUUAUAGUCUCCAAGAUUCGUGUGUAAAAUUUCCCAGCUCUGUAAGCCUUGUUGGAUAGAGCCCCAGAGGAGAAGGGGUCCCUCCUCUCCAGGGGUCACUCUUGCUCUUCGUGGUUGGACACAUCCCCCAAUCCCCAGCUUGUCUAGGACCUGUUCGAAUUUAGACCCUCACCGCUUGGUCUUUAACUUCUCCCUCUUAAUCCCUUUCUAUCCUCUUAAUCCAUGCCUGUGUUCCAGUCUCUAGUCUCACCCCCCGACACACACACUUCCUGCGCCACGUGCCCGGUGAGCUCCGCCCUCUCCUCUCGCCCAGACACACCCUGUGCAACAGUUCUGUCCGCUGUCUGGCCUCCACCACUGGCACCUGACUGAAGCGAGUCUCACAGAGUUCCCUCUUGUGCUCCCACGCCUCCCCCCGCCCCCAGCCUGUUAUUGGGCCUUUUACUGCUGCCCGCCUCUUUGACUUGAAGGCACUUUCCUGGUUUCUGUGACUUCCUGCCCCUCUUCAGAGGCCCUUUGUCUUCUUCCGUCUGUUAAACGGUUGUGCUUCUCAGGAUCCGUGCGUCGCCAUUGCUUUCUCACUGUGAGGGGAUCCCUGAGUGAGUUAACCCCCCGCCCCCGAGGCAUUUUACUGUCAGUGAUCACAGAGUUCCCUCACGUCCUUGUCUCCAGGUUGAAUGUUUCUCUCUGGUCAUCGUUCCACACCUUGUCGGUAUUCCUACCUACUGAGCCUGUGUGCGUGUGUCAUGCGGCCGUGACCGUCACCACGAGGAUGCACCCAUAAUGGUCCUGACGGCAAGCAGACGUGGUGUGUUCCCGUGUAUCAGUCAUCGUUUGCAGCGUUUGACACACAGCAACUCUUAGCCUUUGCGACAGGUCCGUGGUAGGUGACGUUCUCCCCAUUUGACAGAUCAGAAAACUGAGGCACAGAAGGGUUAAAACAUCUGCCCAAGGCUUCACAGUUGAUCAGGAAGUGCGGGACUGGGGAUUGGAGCCAGGUGGGCUGGCUGCAGAAGCCAUGCCCUGAGCACCUCGCCGCCUCCCAUAGGCCGGUCUGUGCACCACUGCGCCAUAGAGCGGGCCAUCACCGUUUGUCUGCAAGUUACCUUCUCGAGUGACGGUACAGGAGACAAACCACACUCACUUUUUAACGGCCGUAUAAUCUGUUGCAACUGUGCGGAGAGUAGAGACGAGGGGUUUGAGGUGGCGCAGAGGUAGACAACGGCUAAGGCAGGGGUUGGGGUUUGGGGUUGUGUGUGUGAGGUGCCCCACAUCUCCCUGAAGGUCACUGUCGUCUGCCUUCUUGCCCACGUCAGACACCUUGCAGCCAUUUUGUUCAUUUCUCCUUUCUCUCCCCCUUACAGAUCCUCAGUAUAUGUGUGUCUUCUAGUUCGGGUCCCUCUCAGUGCUCACACAGAGCUGUUUAUGCGGGGGACACAGUGUGUGGCAUGUGGCUCUUGAAGAGAAUCUGCACAGGCCUGUAUGGCCAGAUGGUUAAGGGCGUCAGGACCAUCCUGUUUCAGUGUUUUGCUAGCAAGACUCACAGGACUCCACAUUUUGUCAUACUCGGGGGCAGGCUGUGAUUGAUCACAGCAAACGCAGUCGAGGAGAGGCACCAGGAAUGGAGAAAGCCAGAGGCCAUCAGAGACAAGCUUCAAGAGUCCUGUUUCUGGGAAGGCACACGGGACACAUUUAACUUAAGCUCCGUUAAGGAGUUAAGACCAUGAUUUUAAAAGUUUACUAGGGGACGCCUGGGUGGCUCCGUUGGUUAAGCGUCUGACCCUUGAUUUCGGUCAGGUCAUGAUUUCCCGAUUCCUGAGUUCAAGCCCCACACUGGGCUCUGCACUGACAGCACAGACUGCUUGGGAUUUUCUCCCUCUCUCUGUCCUACCCCCACUUGCUCGCUCUCUCAACAUAAGUAAAUAAACACAUUUUAAAAAAUUCUAGGGAUGUUCAUCAGAGACCCUUGGUCUUUUGGAGAGAGAAUAUGUAUGUGCAAAAGCACACACCAAGUUCUAGCUUUCCAGAAGGAUAGCAGGUUCAGUGUGAGCCACAUUGUUUACACAAGAAACUUAGGCACUCUGAGCCAUUUGUUCCUGGAAGUGGUGGGAAACCUGCCAUCAUCCGAGGUCACAAACCCCGGCCAAGGGCAAACCCUGCAAGCUCAAAGGAUGGGAGUUCCCAGGCCUGCUGUGUAACUUCCUUACAGUGACUGAAAGGUACUAAAAUGCUGGUUAAAUUUCUGUACAUAAAGCAAAUACAGUUACUUUAAGAGUCACAACUUUGAAGGCUUAUAUAAGCAGAACCACUGUAACCAAAAAAAAUCACCAAGUCAGAGUAGAACUUGGAAACUAGCCAGGAUUUGGGGCGCCUGGGUGGCUCAGUUGGUUAAGC